Molecule: ribosomal RNA, 459 nt
Filed under: uncultured bacterium
Lineage: Bacteria
Description: SSU rRNA
Rfam family: Bacterial small subunit ribosomal RNA
Source: RNAcentral
AGAAUCAACGCUGGCGGCGUGCCUAACACAUGCAAGUCGCACGAGAAAGGGGAGCAAUCCCCCGGUAAAGUGGCGCACGGGUGAGUAACACGUGAAUUAUCUACCUCCGAGUGGGGAAUAACCUAGAGAAAUCUGGGCUAAUACCGCAUAACACUUACGAGUCAAAGCAGCAAUGCGCUUGGAGAGGAGUUCGCGGCAGAUUAGCUAGUUGGCGGGGUAAUGGCCCACCAAGGCGAUGAUCUGUAUCCGGCCUGAGAGGGCGCACGGACACACUGGAACUGAAACACGGUCCAGACUCCUACGGGAGGCAGCAGUGGGGAAUUUUGCGCAAUGGGGGAAACCCUGACGCAGCAACGCCGCGUGGAGGAUGAAGCCCCUUGGGGUGUAAACUCCUUUCGAUCGGGAAGAUAAUGACGGUACCGAUAUAAGAAGCCCGGCUAACUUCGUGCCAGCAGCCGC